AGUGAACGCUGGCGGCGUGCUUAACACAUGCAAGUCGAGCGAAGUUUGCAGCACAUCGCAAGCUUAGCGGCAGACGGGUGAGUAAUAUUUGGGCAAUCUGCCCUUGAGUGGGGGACAACCUGCCGAAAGGCGGGCUAAUACCCCAUAAGACCACAGGGAUGCAUAUCCAAGGGGUCAAAGCUCCGCAAGGGGCGCUUGAGGAGGAGCCCGAAUCCUANCAUGGUAGUUGGCGGGGUAAUGGCCCACCAAGCCGUUGACGGGUAGCCGGCCUGAAAGGGCAAACGGCCACACUGGCACUGAGACACGGGCCAGACUCCUACGGGAGGCAGCAGUGGGAAUUUUGGACAAUGGGGGCAACCCUGAUCCAGCGACGCCGCGUGGAGGAUGAAGGUCUUCGGAUUGUAAACUCCUUUUGGAGGGGAUGAAUGCCUGUGUGAAAACGCAGGGUGACAGUACUCUCUGAAUAAGCCACGGCUAACUACGUGCC
This 487-nucleotide ribosomal RNA is filed under the name uncultured bacterium. Its description in RNAcentral is "bacterial SSU rRNA". It matches the Rfam family "Bacterial small subunit ribosomal RNA", at positions 29 to 509 of the family's 1533-position model. The record is from RNAcentral.